AUUGAACGCUGGCGGCAGGCCUAACACAUGCAAGUCGAGCGGAUGACGGGAGCUUGCUCCUUGAUUCAGCGGCGGACGGGUGAGUAAUGCAUAGGAAUCUGCCUGGGAGAGGGGGACAACGUUUCGAAAGGAACGCUAAUACCGCAUACGUCCUACGGGAGAAAGCAGGGGACAGUCGGGCCUUGCGCUAUCAGAUGAGCCUAGGUCGGAUUAGUUACUUGUUGGGGUAAUGGUUCACCAAGGCGACUGUCCGUAACAGGUCUGAGAGGAGGAUCAGUCACACCGGAACUGAGACACGGUCCAGACUCCUACGGGAGGCAGCAGUGGGGAAUAUUGGACAAUGGGCGAAAGCCUGAUCCAGCCAUGCCGCGUGUGUGAAGAAGGUCUUCGGAUUGUAAAGCACUUUAAGUUGGGAGGAAGGGCAGUAAGCUAAUACCUUGCUGUUUUGACGUUACCGACAGAAUAAGCACCGGCUAACUCUGUGCCAGCCGCCGCGGUAA
Molecule: ribosomal RNA, 500 nt
Filed under: uncultured bacterium
Lineage: Bacteria
Description: partial 16S ribosomal RNA
Rfam family: Bacterial small subunit ribosomal RNA
Source: RNAcentral